Molecule: ribosomal RNA, 254 nt
Filed under: uncultured bacterium
Lineage: Bacteria
Description: partial 16S ribosomal RNA
Rfam family: Bacterial small subunit ribosomal RNA
Source: RNAcentral
UACGUAGGGUCCAAGCGUUAUCCGGAAUCACUGGGCGUAAAGCGUGCGUAGGUGGAUUGUUAAGUGCGGUGCGAAAUCCUGUGGCUCAACCAUAUGGACUGUAUCGCAUACUGGCAACCUAGAGGACAUGAGAGGCAAGUGGAAUUACUGGUGUAGCAGUGAAAUGCGUAGAGAUCAGUAGGAACACCAAUGGCGAAGGCAGCUUGCUGGCAUGUAUCUGACGCUAAGGCACGAAAGCGUGGGGAGCAAACAGG